GCGCCGGGAGGGGUGCUCUGGCCUGGGGUGUGCGCCUCGUUCCUUUCGAUAUCGGAGAUAGGUACACCCUUCCACCUCUGGGUUUCCUGUCCAUUGGGGCCGCGGAGUUAGGAGCCGCUCCGGGUAUCGAGACGGGCGGUGGCGACGUCUAACACGGGAGAUUUCCACCCCUACCCCCAGCCCCCAGUCAAGAUAGUCCCUCCUGGACGUGUAGCGUUCAGUCUUUAGGCUGCCCUGCCGCGGACCCCACCCCGCGUAGUGCCGGGACCCUAAACUCGGAGACUUCUAAGAGCCACACCACCAAUAUAACCUUGAGUCCUGGAGGUCAAUGAUGGGGUACCCCUAGCCUCAAUUCUUUGACGUCUCCACAAUCGUGGCUAGGGCUAGGAGGCUACAAAGAAGAGGCCUGACCGUGUGUGUUUGGGAGAGAUACAUUUCAGGCUCACUCAUGCCCCCUCCUCAACCCUUCCUUCACCUUGCGCCAUCCCCGCAGGCUAGAUAGCCGGUGUUACUCCCCUCUGCCCGCUAGAAUUUAUUGGAACGCCGAGCCGGGACUGACCUGCUCAGAGAAAGCAGAAAGAAGGAACGAGAGAGGGAGGGAGUGGCUGCCUGUGGGAACACUGGCUCUUCCAGGGAAGCGGAGCGGGACUGCCGCGUUCCCCUCGAUUUGCACCGUCACUCGGGCUGUUUGGAAGGAAGAGGGGAGGCGCUGUGCGCGACUCUGAGUACCUGGAUCUGGGUGCAGAAGUGUGCAUGAAUGCCUGUGCCGCUGUGUGUAACAACACACCUGCCUUCAAGGGGGUCUGGAAUGUCUGCCUGUGCGACAACGGAGGAAGAAUCGACGGAAUUUCUCUGGCUGUGGGUUGUGCUGCCUGUAUCCGAAUAAAUCCAGCUCGCAGACAUCCAGCAGGAAACGGCUCCUGGUUCCCGUGUAUGGAGAUGGUUUGGACUAGCACGGGACGCGGGGUGGCUCCUCGUGCUCAGUGCUCAUAAGGUGGCAGGUCUGGCCUCCGACGGGGGCUGGACUAUCAGCACCUUCAGGCCGAGCAGCCUCUCGCUGCCUCGCAGUGCCUGGCAGCACCCCGCCUCUGCGGGUGCUUCGGAAACCCAUCGGGGCCGAGUCCGCCCGGGGCGAAAACUGAAAGCAAAUUCCACGGCAGAUGAAGCUUGAACUUUCUCCGACGCAAGUUUGCAGCAGAGAUGUGGUAGCUUUGGGAGCACAUCACGCUUUAGCUCUGUGUGUGUGUGUGUGUGUGUGUGUGUGUGUGUGUGCGCGCGCGCGCGCGCGCGAAGUGGGGUGGUGGGCGAAGAGGGUACCGCGUGGCCGAGUUUGGUCCGAGGCAAAAUGAGAGGGAAGGCAUCUUCCCUUCCUUAUUUCUUGCCAACUCCUCAGCCCCUGCCCGUAAAAAUAGUUUCCAAGGUGCCACCGACGCUCAGGAUGUGUUGUGGAGAUUGCACCAGCGAGGAGGAGGCUUUGUAAAAGUUGCAGAAAGAGCUUUGCUCAGAAGCUUCCGCUCACCCGGGCUCGGGAAAGCUUGGGACCCACUCGCUUCCCUGGGGCGGAAAGAGCUCCUUGGAGAUCCCCCUGCCCUGUGCUCUCCCCUCACCUCGAAACCACAUGUGAAUAACCUCCCAUUGCCUGCACUGCAGACUUCCCGGUGCGGUUAGUGUGCGGGCGAGGCCUGGACGAAGAGGUGGCCGGCAAGGCCGCUCGUCCGCCGGCUCAGCCCAGCCCUGAGACAGGCUUCCGCAAAGGUGACAGGAUGAAUGUGGUUCCGAUUCCCACUUGGCUGCUCAGACCAUCACUGCCGACCUCCCAACUCCCCAGAGCAAGAGCUUCCCGGCUAGAGCGGUGGUCCUGGGGGGCUCGCGAGGGCGCAAAAUACGCGCGCGGGGCAGAGUGGGGGGGGCGGCCGCGGGUCUCUCCACGGGGCCUGUCGCCUGGCCGACCGCGGCGGGUGAGUGAUGAGGGCAGAGAAGGGCGCCCAUAAAUCGCGGGUGUCAGGGCGAAAAACUCUCUUUAUUGUCUGCGUGAUGGAUGGGCCCGGGGACGAGACACCAAAUACUUCGUAUCGCCUUUAAAUGGGAACACAUUUUCCGCGGCCAUAAUUCAUGUUUUUUAAAUAGAAAGUUUGAAAUGUUGCCUAUA
Non-coding RNA from Sus scrofa (pig), 2149 nucleotides. NCBI's taxonomy places the organism in Eukaryota, Metazoa, Chordata, Mammalia, Artiodactyla, Suidae. The record is from RefSeq and is a predicted model, not a curated record.